RNAcentral lists this ribosomal RNA (212 nucleotides) under Escherichia coli. RNAcentral's name for it is "partial 23S ribosomal RNA". It matches the Rfam family "Bacterial large subunit ribosomal RNA", at positions 2731 to 2925 of the family's 2925-position model. Lineage: Bacteria; Pseudomonadati; Pseudomonadota; Gammaproteobacteria; Enterobacterales; Enterobacteriaceae. The record is from RNAcentral.
AAUGGCACUAGAAAGUAGAUAAAGGGAGAACAAAUAAGUGAUGAAAGAAUAUAAGAAUGAAAAAAGAACAGAGAGGAGUUCGGCGUGACCCUUGAAGGGUUCUGAAGGAACGUUGAAGACGACGACGAUGAUAGGGCGGGUGUGUAAGCGCAGGGAUGCGUUGAGCUAACCAGUACUAAUGAACCGUGAGGCUUAACCUUACAACGCCGAAG